CUACGGGGCGCAGCAGUGAGGAAUAUUGCACAAUGGGGGGAACCCUGAUGCAGCAACGCCGCGUGGAGGAUGACGCAUUUCGGUGUGUAAACUCCUUUUAUAUGUCAAGAAAAUGACGGUAGCAUAUGAAUAAGCACCGGCUAACUCCGUGCCAGCAGCCGUGGUAAUACGGAGGGUGCAAGCGUUACUCGGAAUCACUGGGCGUAAAGGACGCGUAGGCGGGUUGGAAAGUCAGGUGUGAAAGCCUACAGCUUAACUGUAGAACUGCACUUGAAACUUCUAAUCUAGAGUAUGGGAGGGGGAGAUGGAAUUAGUGGUGUAGGGGUAAAAUCCGUAGAUAUCACUAGGAAUACCUAAAGCGAAGGCGAUCUCCUGGAACAUUACUGACGCUAAGGCGUGAAAGCGUGGGGAGCAAACAGGAUUAGAUACCCUUGUAGUC
This 439-nucleotide ribosomal RNA is filed under the name uncultured bacterium. RNAcentral's name for it is "partial 16S ribosomal RNA". It matches the Rfam family "Bacterial small subunit ribosomal RNA", at positions 339 to 795 of the family's 1533-position model. The record is from RNAcentral.